UAGGGAAUCUUCGGCAAUGGGGGCAACCCUGACCGAGCAACGCCGCGUGAGUGAAGAAGGUCUUCGGAUCGUAAAGCUCUGUUGUAANUCAAGANCGAGUGUGAGAGUGGAAAGUUCACACUGUGACGGUAGCUUNCCAGAAAGGGACGGCUAACUACGUGCCAGCAGCCGCGGUAAUACGUAGGUUCCGAGCGUUGUCCGGAUUUAUUGGGCGUAAAGCGAGCGCAGGCGGUUUGAUAAGUCUGAAGUUAAAGGCUGUGGCUCAACCAUAGUUUGCUUUGGAAACUGUUUAACUUGAGUGCAAGAGGGGAGAGUGGAAUUCCAUGUGUAGCGGUGAAAUGCGUAGAUAUAUGGAGGAACACCGGUGGCGAAAGCGGCUCUCUGGCUUGUAACUGGCGCUGAGGCUCGAAAGCGUGGGGAGCAAACAGGAUUAGAUACCCUGGUAGUCCACGCCGUAAACGAUGAGUGCUAGGUGUUAGCCCUUUCCGGGGUUUAGUGCCGCAGCUAACGCAUUAAGCACUCCGCCUGGGGAGUACGACCGCAAGGUUG
Molecule: ribosomal RNA, 549 nt
Filed under: uncultured bacterium
Lineage: Bacteria
Description: bacterial SSU rRNA
Rfam family: Bacterial small subunit ribosomal RNA
Source: RNAcentral